UACGUAGGGAGCUAGCGUUACUCGGAUUUACUGGGCGUAAAGCGAGUGUAGGCGGUCAGGUAAGUCAGGGGUGAAAUCCCUCAGCCUAACUGAGGAAUUGCCUUUGAUACUGCUUGACUUGAGGACAGGAGAGGAAAGUGGAAUUCCCGGUGUAGCGGUGGAAUGCGUAGAUAUCGGGAGGAACACCAGAGGCGAAGGCGGCUUUCUGGACUGUUCCUGACGCUGAGACUCGAAAGCUAGGGGAGCAAACAGGAUUAGAUACCCGCGUA
This 269-nucleotide ribosomal RNA is filed under the name uncultured prokaryote. RNAcentral describes it as "partial 16S ribosomal RNA". It matches the Rfam family "Bacterial small subunit ribosomal RNA", at positions 524 to 792 of the family's 1533-position model. The record is from RNAcentral.